RNAcentral lists this ribosomal RNA (324 nucleotides) under uncultured eukaryote. RNAcentral's name for it is "partial 18S ribosomal RNA". It matches the Rfam family "Eukaryotic small subunit ribosomal RNA", at positions 1470 to 1796 of the family's 1831-position model. The record is from RNAcentral.
UCCUUAGAUGUUCUGGGCCGCACGCGCGCUACACUGAUGCAUUCAACGAGCACCCGCUGGGCCGAGAGGUCCGGCUAAUCUUUGAACGUGCAUCGUGCUGGGGAUAGAUGAUUGCAAUUAUUCAUCUUCAACGAGGAAUUCCUAGUAAACGCAAGUCAUCAGCUUGCAUUGAUUACGUCCCUGCCCUUUGUACACACCGCCCGUCGCACCUACCGAUUGAAUGGUCCGGUGAAAUUCUCGGACGCGGACUUGCGAUGUUAAUUCGGAGCUUGACUGUGAAAGUUAAUUAAACCUUACCAUUUAGAGGAAGGUGAAGUCGUAACA